RNAcentral lists this ribosomal RNA (481 nucleotides) under uncultured bacterium. RNAcentral's name for it is "bacterial SSU rRNA". It matches the Rfam family "Bacterial small subunit ribosomal RNA", at positions 15 to 518 of the family's 1533-position model. The record is from RNAcentral.
GAUUAUGGCUCAGGACGAACGCUGGCGGCGUGCUUAACACAUGCAAGUUGAACGGUAUGACAUGGAAGCUUGCUGAAGUGUCAUAUAGUAGCGGACGGGUGAGUAAUGCAUGAGAAGCUGCCAUUGGGAGGGGGACAACAGUUGGAAACGGCUGCUAAUACCCCGUAUGCCGGAGGGUGAAAGGGAGUAAUCCGCCCGAUGAGGUGCUCAUGUCCUAUCAGCUGGUUGGUGGGGUAACGGCCUACCAAGGCGACGACGGGUAGCCGGCCUGAGAGGGUGAACGGCCACACUGGAACUGAGAUACGGUCCAGACUCCUACGGGAGGCAGCAGUGGGGAAUAUUGGGCAAAUGGGGGCAACCCUGACCCAGCGACGCCGCGUGGGGGAAGACGGCCUUCGGGUUGUAAACCUCUUUUGUACGGGAAGAAGGAAGUGACGGUACUGUACGAAUAAGUCCCGGCUAACUACGUGCCAGCCGCAGC